RNAcentral lists this ribosomal RNA (331 nucleotides) under uncultured bacterium. RNAcentral describes it as "bacterial SSU rRNA". It matches the Rfam family "Bacterial small subunit ribosomal RNA", at positions 568 to 898 of the family's 1533-position model. The record is from RNAcentral.
UGUGUAGGCGGUUCUUUAAGUUUGGUGUGAAAUCUCCCGGCUCAACCGGGAGGGUGCGCCGAAUACUGAGGGACUAGAGUGUGGGAGAGGAAAGUGGAAUUCCUGGUGUAGCGGUGAAAUGCGUAGAUAUCAGGAGGAACACCGGUGGUGUAGACGGCUUUCUGGACCAUAACUGACGCUGAGACACGAAAGCGUGGGUAGCAAACAGGAUUAGAUACCCUGGUAGUCCACGCCCUAAACGAUGCAUAUUUGGUGUGGGUCAUUCAGUUUGAUCCGUGCCGGAGCUAACGCGUUAAAUAUGCCGCCUGGGGAGUACAGUCGCAAGGCUGAA